This is a long non-coding RNA of Vespula pensylvanica (western yellowjacket), 1808 nucleotides long. RefSeq lists it as uncharacterized. NCBI's taxonomy places the organism in Eukaryota, Metazoa, Arthropoda, Insecta, Hymenoptera, Vespidae. The record is from RefSeq and is a predicted model, not a curated record. The transcript has 4 exons.
AAAUAUAUAUGAUCAAGGACGCAAGUAAUAUGUAAUCAAAGUUAGUUGGAAGCUAACGUUCGUCUACUUCGCAUGUUCCUUUGGGUACUCGCAGCCAUAUCUCUCAAUUAUUUAAGGUGACAGACAUUUUUUCCUUCUACGAAGAAAAAGAAAGGAGGCAGCUUUAUAAGUACGUCGAAAGAAACAAAGAAAAUAUGAAAACUUCUACGCAGUAUUUCGAACGUGAUAAAAAGUCAAGACAGAGAUUAGUAUAUUUUUCUUAUACUUUAUCUAUUUCGUAAGACAAAGCUACGUUCGCAGCUAAGAUAUCACCGAUAGGAUUACGGAUGUUUUCAUCUUACGCUCCAAUUCUUUGCAAUAUCACGAUCGCUUUUCCAACAAUAUCGAAUGAGACGCUUUUGAAAGGUAAAAUUGCUGGAAGGAGAGUAUUAGAUUGAGCAUUCCUUUCGCUGAACGAUAUGCACGUGAAAAUGACAAACGAGUCCUUUGAAGAACGAUCAACGAAAAUAACAAUCCUUCGCUGCAGCCAUAAAAGUUUCUCAUGCAUGAAUUUGGAUAACGAAGCGUUAAAAGAUUCUUCUGUGUUCGUGUAUUAAAUCACGGGAAGAAAGUUAAGAGAGAGAGAGAGGGGGGAGGGAGGGAGAGAGAGAAAGAGAGAGAGGGAAAGAGAGGUUUUAACUUCGGUGAAUAUUUAUUUGCAUUUGUGAGUGCACGAGCUGAUAACGGCCAGGGAUUUUUUUAUUAUAUUUUUUUACUAUAAUCUCGAUGAUUUUUUAUCAUUUAAAUACGUGUGUCGUAUGAUCUUAAAAUAAAUACAAUACAUCAUUUUGAAUUUAUUUAGAAAAUAAUUACAAAUUUAUUAUCGGAUUUAUUUCUUUUUUUUUUUAUGCGAAGUCAUUCAUUACUUUGUGCAAUUUAGCAUAAGUACCAUCAAAUAAUAAAUUUUUUUUAUUCUCGAAGCAAAAUGGUAAAAAAGAGGGAUAAAAGAAACGAUAUUUAUUUAAUCACUUGAUUAAAGCUCGAGAAAGUAUAUUGGGUAAAUCAAUAGCAUCAUAAGCUCACCUUAUCUAAGCUAUCCGUUCGAGUUUAAGUUCUUCAUACGCAUCAUCGUCACGGAACUAUUUCGUUAAAUAAACGAAAGCUAUUUGUAGUAUUUUCACUGAUCAAAAUAGAAGCUCUCUUCAUGUCGACAAAUCGAAUUUAUAACAAUCCUGCGCCAUUAACAGAGAAAAUGUGAAGCGUACAACAAAGUCAUUAUGAGUUUCGUAAUCGUAUAAACUUUCAUAAUUAGUUACAAUCAUUAAUUCUAAAAUACAGUAUUCACUUCGUAAUAGAACACACGAUUUUUAAACUUAUGAUAUACCUAAUCCUAUUUUAUUAAAUUAUCCACAUAUUCAUAUUACGUUACAUCCGUUGUACGUACUUAAAUGUAUAAUCAUUCAAAUUAACAAGAAAUUAAGCAAUAUGCAAUAAUAUUGAAUGAUUGUCAUAGUCGUAUAUAACAAAAAUUACGUUUAUAUUACUACGAUAGAUAUUUAACGCUUACAACUUAAUAUCGUAUGUUAUCCUUAGAGUAUAUUAUUAUCCUAUUGUCUCGAGAAAUAUUAAAUAAAGUGUCUCUCGCAUUUUAAGGAUGAAGACAGAGUUUCGUGUCACGUAUUCCACAUGAGAAUAAUUUCAUUUACCACGUGGCUGCAUACGUGCAUCUGUUAAAUUUGUUGCCUCCAGUUGCACAUAUUCUUUUUGUUCUUUUUUUUUCUAUGGCCUUUCAAAAAUCCAUUAUUAAAAUGAAUGCUUCUUUCAUGAUA